Molecule: microRNA precursor, 104 nt
Filed under: Canis lupus familiaris (dog)
Lineage: Eukaryota; Metazoa; Chordata; Mammalia; Carnivora; Canidae
Also listed under: 1 other name
Description: mir-8834 microRNA precursor family
Rfam family: mir-8834 microRNA precursor family
Source: Rfam by way of RNAcentral
UGGAGGAACAACCACGGUGGCGGCGGCCAGCUCUGGAAACCUGGAUUCAGCUCCCGCUGUAACUUCAGAGCUCUGUCUGCAGGGGCUGUGCCCUCCUGGCCUCU